CUGAGUUAUACAACUCAUAAACCAUUGUGAACAUACCUAAUCUUACUGCUUCGGCGGUAAGACGUCCCUGUAACGGGCUUGCCCCGCUAGUAUUACCCUAACUCUUUUAUUUCUAGAGAAUUAUUCAUUGCUGAGUAACAUUAGCAAAUAAGUUA
RNAcentral lists this unclassified non-coding RNA (155 nucleotides) under soil metagenome. RNAcentral's name for it is "partial internal transcribed spacer 1". The record is from RNAcentral.